AGGGGGUAUCCAUGAUGGAUUUCCCCUGCGUUACCAAAAAAAAAAAAAAGACUGCAUACAGCAACUCCUCCCUGAAUAGCAAGGAGGGGGGGUAAGGAGGGAGGCGGAUGCCCCCCUCUCCUCAGGUGAAACCAGAAGGCCAAAGGUCGGCCAACCGACCGGGGACCGCAUCUUGGAUUCCCUCUGUGGAACAGGGUGCGGUGCAAUGAUGGCGAGGGGCUCCCUUAGAGCCCUGGGGCCGGGGGGUUGGGGAGAGAAUAUGGGAGUAGUUCCUCUGACUCCCCUCUCACCGGUCCGACAGGUAGGCAUCCCGCAGGGGUUUUAGUCGGUAAGAGUCCGACAUAAUCCUCUGACCCCCCCCCAAGGGUCGGGGGUAUCCAUGAUGGAUUUUCCCUGCGUGACCAAAAAAAAAAAGAUUGCAUACAGCAAUGUCCAUUCGCCAUUUCCCAGUAGUAUGAUGUAGAAAGAAAAACAGGGACAGCGCGUACGCAGUCCCCACGAUCAAAAAAAUGCGCAGUUACAAGAACCACAUCCAACCGCCGCGGAGGCGAACAGAAGACUUUUAAAACAAAAAUCAUAUUAGUCAAUAAUGGAUAAAAGUGUUUGUUAUACGGACCGGGAGAGAAUGCUCCUGGCGCAGCUUAUUUCAGAAGAAGAAGCUAUUGAAAAUAAGAAAACCGGUGCGACAGAUAUGAAGAAUAAGGCAGAGGCAUAGGAGAGACCUAACCUAGGAGAGAAUAACAAAAAAAUACGCUAGCGAAGGUUAUACGCCAUAUGUUACGGCCAUACGUUUCAGCAAACAACUGAGGAAAUGCUGGGAUAACAUGAAACAGGAAUAAGAAACGAAAAUUAAACACGGUGAUCCGGCACCACCGGCUUAUGACAGGUGGAGGUUCUGCACUGGUACAACCGAAUGACCCAGUAAUGGAAUUCAUGAAUGCAACACAUGCUAACUUAGAACGUAGAAAUUAAUUGCCCAUUUGACAGCACUACAAUAUUUGAGAAAGAAUAUAAUGUACAGAUAUGUUCUACAUAAAGACCAUCCACACAAGUGAUCAUCGAAGAUGAAAAUGAAAAGGACGAGGAAGAUACUAAUGAUGUAUUUCUGUAUGAUCAGAGCAUCCCAUCUAAUCUCAUAGCAUACUAUUGGAAAAAGGGGCCACUUUAAAGAGUAAAAAUCUAAUGGUAAUGAUCUACUGGCAGCUAUCUACUAACGUCUGUUUUAAGACCUGAGACAGACGCAGAAAUUCGAUACAAUACUGCACAUACCAAAACAUGAGUUAUAGUUGAACAACUGUUUGGAGUUUGAAAACGUCGAUUUCCAUGCCUGUACUACGGCUUAAAAACAAAGUUGACCACAUCGGUGGCAAUUAUAUGUGCCACUGCCGUUUUGCACAAUGUAUGUAUACAAAAUAAUUUGGGUGAAGUGGUCUGAGAGGAGCUUAAUGAGAAUAUAUUUGAGGACAUUAUAAAUCGAGAACAAGAUGGUAUAGUACUUGUGCACAGAUAUGCUUUUAUUUUAAGACAUUUUUCUUAAAUAUGAAAUAAUGCUGUGAAUCAAUUAUAUUUUUUAUAUUAAGUUUAUAUCUACGAUGAAUGGCAUGUUCUAAUAAUGUUAAUCAAGAUAAAUUCAUACAAAUUUACACU
Molecule: long non-coding RNA, 1647 nt
Filed under: Harpegnathos saltator (Jerdon's jumping ant)
Lineage: Eukaryota; Metazoa; Arthropoda; Insecta; Hymenoptera; Formicidae
Description: uncharacterized LOC112589205
Source: RNAcentral